AGCCUGCGAAGGUGGCCUGUGAGGGUUGCUGGAGGUAUCAGAAGUGCGAAUGCUGACAUAAGUAACGAUAAAGCGGGUGAAAAGCCCGCUCGCCGGAAGACCAAGGGUUCCUGUCCAACGUUAAUCGGGGCAGGGUGAGUCGACCCCUAAGGCGAGGCCGAAAGGCGUAGUCGAUGGGAAACGGGUUAAUAUUCCCGUACUUGGUGUUACUGCGAAGGGGGGACGGAGAAGGCUAUGUUGGCCGGGCGACGGUUGUCCCGGUUUAAGCGUGUAGGUGUGUGUUCCAGGUAAAUCCGGUUCACUUUAACACUGAGGCGUGACGACGAGGCACUACGGUGCUGAAGCAACAAAUGCCCUGCUUCCAGGAAAAGCCUCUAAGCAUCAGGUAACAUCAAAUCGUACCCCAAACCGACACAGGUGGUCAGGUAGAGAAUACCAAGGCGCUUGAGAGAACUCGGGUGAAGGAACUAGGCAAAAUGGUGCCGUAACUUCGGGAGAAGGCACGCUGACAC
This 512-nucleotide ribosomal RNA is filed under the name Salmonella enterica subsp. enterica serovar Braenderup. RNAcentral's name for it is "partial 23S ribosomal RNA". It matches the Rfam family "Bacterial large subunit ribosomal RNA", at positions 1245 to 1757 of the family's 2925-position model. Lineage: Bacteria; Pseudomonadati; Pseudomonadota; Gammaproteobacteria; Enterobacterales; Enterobacteriaceae. The record is from RNAcentral.